This 1423-nucleotide ribosomal RNA is filed under the name Agalychnis moreletii (black-eyed leaf frog). RNAcentral's name for it is "partial 16S ribosomal RNA". It matches the Rfam family "Bacterial large subunit ribosomal RNA", at positions 23 to 2597 of the family's 2925-position model. The record is from RNAcentral. Lineage: Eukaryota; Metazoa; Chordata; Amphibia; Anura; Hylidae.
GCUGAAAAUUUAGCCCAAAAAUUUGUAUAUAAACACUUUUUAUCUCUUAUAUUUAAUUAAAACAUUUUUAAGGUUUAGUAAAGGCGAUUGAAUAAUCUUUUGGAGCCAUAUUUAUAGUACCGUAAGGGAAUAAUGAAAUAAAAAUGAAAUAUUCUAUAAGCAUAAAACAGUAGAGAUACCCCCUCGUACCUUUUGCAUCAUGAUUUAACUAGAUUAACCAAGCAAAAUGAAUUUCAGUUUGCCACCCCGAAACUAAACGAGCUACUUCAGGGCAGCUUUCUGAGCUAACCCAUCUCUGUCGCAAAAGAGUGGGAAGACCCUUAAGUAGAGGUGAUAGACCUAACGAGUUUAGUGAUAGCUGGUUACUUAAGAAACGGAUGUAAGUCCAACCUAAAGUUUUAGUAAUAGUUCUAAAUAAAUAUUAAACUUUAGAUUCAUUCAAAUAAGGUACAGCCUAUUUGAAACAGGAUACAACCUAGAUAAAUGGGUAAUUAAUAUAUUGUAUUAUAAAGUAGGCCUAAAAGCAGCCACCUUUCAAAAAGCGUCAAAGCUUAAUUAUAGUUAAAUCAAAUUCCAUUAAUUUUUAAAAACCCUUAAACUAUAUUAAGUAAUUCUAUAAAAUUAUAGAAGAUAUUAUGUUAAAACUAGUAACAAGAAUUUAAAGCUUCUCUUUAAUAUAAGUAUAAGUCAGAACGGACCCACCACUGACUCUUAACAUUCCUGAACCUAAAGUAAUAACCAAUCAAGAAAAACUUACUUUAUAACAUGUUAAUCUAACACAAGAAUAUUACAAGACGAUUAAAAGAAAAAGAAGGAACUCGGCAAACAAUAACCUCGCCUGUUUACCAAAAACAUCGCCUCCUGAAUUAACUUAUAGGAGGUCCAGCCUGCCCAGUGACUCUGUUCAACGGCCGCGGUAUCCUAACCGUGCGAAGGUAGCGUAAUCACUUGUUCUUUAAAUGAGGACUAGUAUGAAUGGCAUCACGAAGGUUAUACUGUCUCCUCUUUCUAAUCAGUGAAACUAAUCUUUCCGUGAAGAAGCGGAAAUAAACUUAUAAGACGAGAAGACCCUAUGGAGCUUCAAACUCUCAACAACUAUCUUUUUUUAUUUAACUCUAAAGAAAAUAAUACUUAUCUAGAUAGUAUGACUGUUAGUUUUUGGUUGGGGUGACCACGGAGUAAAACCCAUCCUCCACGAUGAAUAGGACCUGCUCCUAAGCAAAGAACUACUAUUCAAAGCAUCAAGAAAUUGACAAUAUUGACCCAAUAUUUUGAUCAACGAACCAAGUUACCCUAGGGAUAACAGCGCAAUCCAUCUAAAGAGUUCAUAUCGACAGAUGGGUUUACGACCUCGAUGUUGGAUCAGGGUAUCCCAGUGGUGCAGCCGCUACUAAAGGUUCGUUUGUUCAACGAUUAAAACCCU